RNAcentral lists this ribosomal RNA (384 nucleotides) under uncultured bacterium. RNAcentral describes it as "bacterial SSU rRNA". It matches the Rfam family "Bacterial small subunit ribosomal RNA", at positions 30 to 416 of the family's 1533-position model. The record is from RNAcentral.
AUUGAACGCUGGCGGAAUGCUUUACACAUGCAAGUCGAACGGCAGCACGGGGCAACCUGGUGGCGAGUGGCGAACGGGUGAGUAAUAUAUCGGAACGUGCCCAAUCGUGGGGGAUAACGUAGCGAAAGUUACGCUAAUACCGCAUACGAUCUACGGAUGAAAGCGGGGGAUCGCAAGACCUCGCGCGAAUGGAGCGGCCGAUAUCAGAUUAGGUAGUUGGUGGGGUAAAGGCUCACCAAGCCAACGAUCUGUAGCUGGUCUGAGAGGACGACCAGCCACACUGGAACUGAGACACGGUCCAGACUCCUACGGGAGGCAGCAGUGGGGAAUUUUGGACAAUGGGCGCAAGCCUGAUCCAGCCAUUCCGCGUGCAGGAUGAAGGCC